This is a long non-coding RNA of Octodon degus (degu), 716 nucleotides long. RefSeq lists it as uncharacterized. NCBI's taxonomy places the organism in Eukaryota, Metazoa, Chordata, Mammalia, Rodentia, Octodontidae. The record is from RefSeq and is a predicted model, not a curated record. The transcript is spliced from 6 exons.
GGCACACAAAAGGAGCGCAAUAAAUCUCUGCUGACUGCAGAGAUGCCUGGUUGGUCCAAGGUGCCAGUGGGUGCACAAGAGCACAGGCUGGGCAAGCUGUUCAUCGUCCCCUCCCUGUGGUGUGCUUCCGAUACAGCCUCUUUCAUGGAGCCUGCCUGCACCCCAUCCAGCUAGGGUUGAGAUAUGGCUUGAGCUGUCCACUCAAGGGCCCAUGCGAUGGAGACUUAGCCCUCAGAGGGUCUGGUUUGAAAUUUGCAGUCAUAGGGAGAAUUAAGUGGUGGAUUCUAGCCAGUUUGUGGUGAACAGAAGUGGCACGUCACAGUUCCUGGGCUGGACCUCUGGCUGCCAGUGUGAGACCCUCCAGCGUUCUCUGCCUAUCUGCAAAGGUGCCAGUCAGAUGCAUGGGGCAGAGUUUUAGCCGACUCAAUGGACACAGAGCCCGGGUGAUGGCCAGCAUGAAUUCUUCUGCUUGAUCCAGGGACCCUUGAGAGUGUGAGCUCCAUGUGGACAAGAACCAUAUCAGUCUUGCCUGAUGCAGGUCUUAAGGUCUUGCUUCUGGAAGUCUCUGUUGGUCCUGCUCAUUAUACUCUGACUCCAGUGUCACUGUCUUAUGACAUAGACCUUUCUGACAUUUUUUCUAAGCUGAAGUCUUCAUCAGUAGUGCUGCUAAGGAGUGCAUUCUCCCCCUAAUCACAUGCAUGGAGGCUUUCCUUGGG